UAACAAGGAUUCCCCUAGUAACUGCGAGUGAAGCGGGAAAAGCUCAAAUUUAAAAUCUGACGGUUUCACCGUCCGAAUUGUAAUCUGGAGAAGCAUUUUCCGUGUCGGACCGUGUACAAGUUUCUUGGAAUAGAACGUCAUAGAGGGUGAGAAUCCCGUCCAUGACACGGACUACUGAUGCUUUGUGAUAUGCUCUCGAAGAGUCGAGUUGUUUGGGAAUGCAGCUCAAAAUGGGUGGUAAAUUCCAUCUAAAGCUAAAUAUUGGCGAGAGACCGAUAGCGAACAAGUACCGUGAGGGAAAGAUGAAAAGCACUUUGGAAAGAGAGUUAAACAGUACGUGAAAUUGUUGAAAGGGAAACGCUUGAAGUCAGUCGCGUUGGUUGAGACUCAGCCUUGCUUUGCAUGGUGUACUUCUCAGUUAACGGGUCAACAUCAAUUUCAGUUGGUGGAUAAAGGCAUUGGGAAUGUGGCACCUUCGGGUGUGUUAUAGACCUUUGUUGCAUACACUGACCGGGAUUGAGGAACGCAGCACGCCACUACGGCCAGGGAUUCGUCCCAUGUAACGUGCUUAGGAUGUUGGCAUAAUGGCUUUAAGCGACCCGUCUUGAAACACGGACCAAGGAGUCUAACAUGCCUGCGAGUAUUAGGGUGGAAAACCCUUGUGCGUAAUUAACGUGAAAGUUGGGACCUCUUGCGAGGGCACCGACGCCCGGCCCUGAAGUUUACUGACGGCGCUGCGGUAGAGCAUGUAUGUUGGGACCCGAAAGAUGGUGAACUAUGCCUGAAUAGGGUGAAGCCAGGGGAAACUCUGGUGGAGGCUCGUAGCGAUUCUGACGUGCAAAUCGAUCGUCAAAUUUGGG
RNAcentral lists this ribosomal RNA (860 nucleotides) under Xylodon subtropicus. RNAcentral describes it as "partial large subunit ribosomal RNA". It matches the Rfam family "Eukaryotic large subunit ribosomal RNA", at positions 66 to 915 of the family's 3401-position model. Lineage: Eukaryota; Fungi; Basidiomycota; Agaricomycetes; Hymenochaetales; Schizoporaceae. The record is from RNAcentral.